This 29-nucleotide non-coding RNA is filed under the name Bombyx mori (domestic silkworm). Lineage: Eukaryota; Metazoa; Arthropoda; Insecta; Lepidoptera; Bombycidae. The record is from RNAcentral.
UAAAGUUAUUCCUUUUUCCAAGCAUGGGC